AUUGAACGCUGGCGGCAUGCCUAAUACAUGCAAGUCGAACGGAAGCAGCAAUGCUUUAGUGGCGAACGGGUGAGUAACACGUAGGGAACCUACCUAUACGACGAGGAUAACUACUGGAAACGGUAGCUAAAACUGGAUAGGAUCAAUUGAGGCAUCUUGAUUGAUUUAAAGAUCCUUCGGGAUUACGUAGAGAUGGCCCUGCGGCGCAUUAGCUAGUUGGUGAGGUAACGGCCCACCAAGGCGACGAUGCGUAGCUGAGCUGAGAGGCUAAACAGCCACACUGGGACUGAGACACGGCCCAGACUCCUACGGGAGGCAGCAGUAGGGAAUUUUCGGCAAUGGGGGAAACCCUGACCGAGCAAUGCCGCGUGAACGAUGAAGGUCUUCGGAUUGUAAAGCUCUUUCGGACGGAAGAAAUACGCCGCCUCUAACAUAGGCGGUGGAUGACGGUACCGUAAGAAGAAGCACCGGCUAACUACGUGCCAGCAGCCGCGGU
Molecule: ribosomal RNA, 496 nt
Filed under: uncultured bacterium
Lineage: Bacteria
Description: bacterial SSU rRNA
Rfam family: Bacterial small subunit ribosomal RNA
Source: RNAcentral